GCUAGAGGUGGGACAGGAGUGCGACGCCUUCUCUUCAGAGGACAAACUUUUACAAAGCCGAGAAAGCGCGGCAACCGUACUGCAUGUGAAGGUGUGAAAAACAGGAAGGAAGGUAGCUCAGAGACAGCUGCUGCCUCACCUUUGCUGCUCGUCUCCCAUCAAUCCCCUAUUUUCUCCAAAGCCCUCAAGCCUUUUUUAUUCUCUCUCUCUCUCUCUGAUUUCUUUCUUCUCCCUCUCCUCUCAUUUUUUCUGCCUGUAUUGUCUUACUCCCGCUAUUGUCUGAGAGCAGAUUGACAAAAAUGAAACUUUUUUCAGAGGAAGAAUGCUGAACAUGCCAGAAUGAUAUAAAAAAUGGAAGAGGGAACUGAAAGAGGAAGGAUGUUCAUGAAAUAUUGAGGGUGAUUGCUGCAGCUCGUUGUAAUGUGCGAUCCGUCACUGUCAUCGCAUUCAAAUGUGUGCAUGCUCGUGCCGGAGCGAGUGUUCACGUGUCUACAUCUAUUUGUCUGUUUAGAUGAUCCCACGUGAAGAAAUGACGCCCUAUUGCGAAAAUAGAUCGCAGUUCAAUGACUCUCUUCCAGUUCCUGUUCAUGGAUCAGUCUGUAUUUAUCAUUGCCUGAAUGGUAUUUCUUGACAAGUCCUUAUACUUUAAGGACAAAAUAUGUACUUUGGAAAGCGUUUUCUGAUCGGUCAACAGUAGGGCUGGGUAUCACCAGGUACCUCGCGAUACGAUACCAUCACGAUAUUUUGCCCACGAUAACGAUAAUAUCACGAUAAAGCGAUUUCGCGAUAAUCGAUAUGUUGCAAGAAAUUUCAUCCACGAUACAUCACGAUAUCUGUGUCACUGAAGAAAUUCAGAAUUUAUUGACUGCACUGAAUCCAUUUCACAGGAAUUAAAAAACAUUGUCAAUCAAUUUCACAUGAAUGACAGCCAAGUAAACAAAGAGUAUAUUGCACAGUGUCUCCUCUUAACACACACACUGACUACAACUAUUAUUAAAUAUCCAUUAAACCAUUUUUUAAAUUUUAUUUGGUUGUAUACCUAUGUUUGAAUGAAGAUAAAGCUGUCCUCCGAAGAGGGGUGGUGGUUUUUAAAUAUCGAUAUUUGGCACCAGUGUAUCGAUAACGUACCUCAAGACAAGUAUCGCGAUAUAUCGUAGUAUCGAUAUUUUGGCACACCCCUAGUCAACAGUGCGACAAGGGUUUUGGUAAGUUUUAGCGACCAAAACUGCUAAUACUACUCUGUCAGUGUUAGGGACAGAUGCUGGUCAUGGUCAAAGGAUGUGAAGUUGACCAUUUUGAGGACAAUCAAAGUUAGAAGGUCAAUUUUUUGUGCUGGAAGCAAAAAUCACCAUCUUUUAGUGGAUUAGAGAUCUUCUGCAGAACCUAAAGUAAAAGUUCAUUCUCAGAUGCUGGUUUGAACACUUGUGGCACCCAUUUGUAUCUCAUGUAGACAAAGUGAGGCCAAGUCCACACAUACAUGGGUAUUUCUCAAAAUGAAGCUGAGCUGGAAAUGGCUAAUGGCGACAAAUAGGCCUCGGACUGCGUGCUCUCCCUUGGUAUAAGUGACUUGAUUCACUCGGCCUCCUUUGCAGGCCUGGACUUGUCAUUUGCAUGAUUGAUUUAUCAUUUACUUUUCUUUCCAUUGUCCAUUAUCUGUACUUAACUUUGUUUGCUUUGUGUACUGACCACUAACUAAUUAUCAUGCUUUGUUUAUCUCUCUGAAAAUUGUUUGCAUUGUUGACGCAAAGCUUUUCUGCGCAAUUGUGUUUCAUAUGGAAAAGCUAUAAUUAAAGUCAUGAAAAAACCAUUAUACAAAAAAUAACCAUUCAGUUUGAAGGUAAUGGUAAUUAUAAAACCAUCAUCAACUGUAGUGAGCUUGUUUAAUUGGUUCUGAAGAAGUGUG
Molecule: long non-coding RNA, 1903 nt
Filed under: Sparus aurata (gilthead seabream)
Lineage: Eukaryota; Metazoa; Chordata; Actinopteri; Spariformes; Sparidae
Description: lncRNA (ENSSAUG00010023406.1)
Source: RNAcentral